UACAGAGACCUCAAGCAUUAUCCGGAUUUAUUGGGCGUAAAGGGUCCGCAGGUGGCUAUUCACGUCGGUGGUCAAAUCUUCAGGCUCAACCUGGGGACUGCCAUCGAUACGGUUUAGCUCGAGGCCGGGAGAGGUAAGCGGAAUUGCCGGUGUAGUAGUAAUAUGCGUUGAUAUCGGCAAGAACACCAAAUGCGAAGGCAGCUUACUGGAACGCGCCUGACACUCAGGGACGAAAGCGUGGGGAG
Molecule: ribosomal RNA, 245 nt
Filed under: uncultured bacterium
Lineage: Bacteria
Description: partial 16S ribosomal RNA
Rfam family: Bacterial small subunit ribosomal RNA
Source: RNAcentral